This 735-nucleotide long non-coding RNA is filed under the name Chrysolophus pictus (golden pheasant). Its description in RNAcentral is "lncRNA (ENSCPIG00010010559.1)". Lineage: Eukaryota; Metazoa; Chordata; Aves; Galliformes; Phasianidae. The record is from RNAcentral.
GCUUGAGUGGUGUUGCUGUUACAGUGUGAUUUGAAAUCACUGCCAGAAACACUGGAAAUGACAAAUUGUGAAGCCAGAGAUUUGUUUGAACUGAAGAACCUGAAGCAGUUUCUAGAAUUACUUGCAUGCUGAAGCAGUUGAGAAGAAGCAAUGGAGCACCCAGCAGUACAGUGCCAGAGCACGGAGCUUUCUUGCUGGUAGCUGAGGAAGAGCUGAGACCACAGAAAAGGCUCACCAUACCACUGACAGCUGUGACAACUCUCCUGCUCAUGGGCUCUCACCUUGCAGGAAGACAUCCAGGUUUCGCACGCGGCCGGCUGCCCAGGCGCUUCCCACAUGGCAUCUGUAGUCCCUGAUGUCUGCAGGGAGCAAAGGGAAGGAUGAGUGCCUUCAAGCUGUGAUGCAGUUAGGACACAAGCUCUGUGCAUGGCGUCAGCACCCCCCUCACCUGGAAUGAUCCCUCCGGUGUUUGCAGUGGUGAUGUUAUCAGAGCCUGGGGAAGAGCCAUGGAACCCUGGUUUGGCCUCAUGGAAGGUAGGAACGUUUUCACUAUAUUUUUUUUAGAAAAUGGUUUACUUGCAUUAUUAAAGGUAUGAUUGCUUUUUUGAGAAUCCGAGGAGGGGUUCCAUGUGUGAACAACGCAUGCAUUUAUAAGCCAUGCAAAGUAAUGUGCUGUGUCCCAUGUCUGAACACAGUGGGAAAUGGAUGUGCAUUUAAACAACACUCCCUCCUCCC